ACGCUCGACACCUACGGGAGACAGCAGUGGGGAAUAUUGCACAAUGGGGGAAACCCUGAUGCAGCGACGCCGCGUGGAGGAAGAAGGUCUUCGGAUUGUAAACUCCUGUUGUUGGGGAAAAAGAGGAUGGUACCCAACAAGGAAGUGACGGCUAACUACGUGCCAGCAGCCGCGGUAAUCUGAGGCGGGCUGGACAAGGC
RNAcentral lists this ribosomal RNA (200 nucleotides) under uncultured bacterium. RNAcentral's name for it is "partial 16S ribosomal RNA". It matches the Rfam family "Bacterial small subunit ribosomal RNA", at positions 328 to 539 of the family's 1533-position model. The record is from RNAcentral.